UACGAAGGGGGCUAGCGUUGCUCGGAAUUACUGGGCGUAAGGGGCGCGUAGGCGGACAUUUAAGUUAGAGGUGAAAGCCCAGGGCUCAACCCUGGAAUAGCCUUUAAUACUGGAUGUCUUGAGUUCGGGAGAGGUGAGUGGAAUGCCGAGUGUAGAGGUGAAAUUCGUAGAUAUUCGGCGGAACACCAGUGGCGAAGGCGACUCACUGGCCCGAUACUGACGCUGAGGCGCGAAAGCGUGGGGAGCAAACAGG
This 253-nucleotide ribosomal RNA is filed under the name uncultured bacterium. RNAcentral describes it as "partial 16S ribosomal RNA". It matches the Rfam family "Bacterial small subunit ribosomal RNA", at positions 524 to 776 of the family's 1533-position model. The record is from RNAcentral.